GUAACAAGGUUUCCGUAGGUGAACCUGCGGAAGGAUCAUUACUGUGAUUUACUACUACACUGCGUGAGCGGAACGAAAACAACAACACCUAAAAUGUGGAAUAUAGCAUAUAGUCGACAAGAGAAAUCUACGAAAAAACAAACAAAACUUUCAACAACGGAUCUCUUGGUUCUCGCAUCGAUGAAGAGCGCAGCGAAAUGCGAUACCUAGUGUGAAUUGCAGCCAUCGUGAAUCAUCGAGUUCUUGAACGCACAUUGCGCCCCUCGGCAUUCCGGGGGGCAUGCCUGUUUGAGCGUCGUUUCCAUCUUGCGCGUGCGCAGAGUUGGGGGAGCGGAGCGGACGACGUGUAAAGAGCGUCGGAGCUGCGACUCGCCUGAAAGGGAGCGAAGCUGGCCGAGCGAACUAGACUUUUUUUCAGGGACGCUUGGCGGCCGAGAGCGAGUGUUGCGAGACAACAAAAAGCUCGACCUCAAAUCAGGUAGGAAUACCCGCUGAACUUAAGCAUAUC
RNAcentral lists this unclassified non-coding RNA (508 nucleotides) under Pichia kudriavzevii. RNAcentral's name for it is "sequence contains 18S rRNA gene, ITS1, 5.8S rRNA gene, ITS2, 28S rRNA gene". The stretch from base 146 to 298 matches the Rfam family "5.8S ribosomal RNA". Lineage: Eukaryota; Fungi; Ascomycota; Pichiomycetes; Pichiales; Pichiaceae. The record is from RNAcentral.